This is a non-coding RNA of Delphinapterus leucas (beluga whale), 725 nucleotides long. The record is from RefSeq and is a predicted model, not a curated record. NCBI's taxonomy places the organism in Eukaryota, Metazoa, Chordata, Mammalia, Artiodactyla, Monodontidae.
GGGAGCCCGGGGGCCGGGGGUCAGAAGGUGCUGGGCACUCCGAUGUCUCUCUCCCUGUGGGCCUCCUGCAGGACACUGUUGUUCAGAGGCGGCCCGGAGGGGGCGGGCGGCAGACACAGAGCGCAGUCCCAGAGGUCGCCUGCUGGCCAGGGUGCUCAGGAGAGCGCCAAGCGGGGGCCAGCACGCCCAGCUUAAGGCGCCCCUGCCUACUCACUAUGGCCCUGGGCAAGCCCCUCCAUGCCCUCACUUUCCCAGCUAAGAGACUGGACCGAGGCCAGCUGGGAGCAGCAGCCCACAGUAUCCUGGGGUCCAUGAGGACCUGGGUUCAAGUUCUUUUGAAGCAAACCAUGAACAAAGCCAGCUGUGGAGGCCAGCCUCCAAGAAGGCCUCCAGUAAGCCCACCUCCUGGAAGCACGUCUGCUGGAGUCCCUCCCACAUUGUACCUCAGAAUAUGGCAGAAGCCACAGACAGCACCUCCAAGUAGGUUAUGAAAGACUCCCAUCUUUGUUGCUGUCUUAUCUCUGGGGGAAGCUGGCCGCCAUGUUCGGAGCAGCCCUGUGGGGAGGUCCGUGUGGGCCCCCACCCAAGGCCAGCCUUCAGACAACUGCAGUCCGGCCAGCCCCUUGGAGCCAUCUAAGGAUAGAUCCUGAGGCAGAACCACCCACUAAAGUGGUCCCAGAACCAUGAAACUGUGUGAGAUAAUAAAUGUUCAUUGUUUUAAGACA